UUCCCAAAAACUUUUCAUAACAGUAAUAAUACUACUUUCAGUUAAAAUAAGGUUUUAGGUGGAAUGAAGCCAUUGUGGACUUACUGUCUCGCUAGUUGGCCAUCACAACCCCAGUAGUUGGAAAGACAUGUCAUGUCAAAUAGGUAGGAUACUGGUUUUGUUUUCCUGUUAAACAUCUUGUGGCUGAGAGGUAACAGGGAGACAAAUAGAUACUUGAAUGGUCUAAUAAUCCUUGCAGUGGCUGAAAUAUAUCACUCAAAUGGACAGAUGCAUGCAGAAAGCUCCUGUUCACCAUGCUCUGUCAUUAAAGGAGAUGGGUGCUGUGCCAGGAGGCGCGUUCAGAGCCUUCUGAGAACCAGUGUACAGGAUGUCAAUAUCUGAAAGCACAAUAAGAGGCAGAUUACAACACACACAAGCACAUUGUAGCAGCUGACAGAAUGUAAUCGCUUGUUAUUCAUUGUUUUAAUUCUUUUUAUUUUAUUUGUUGUGCCAAAAUAAUACAUAUAAAAAAUGGACUUUAUGACCUUUCCAAAAAUCAAGGAAAAAAUGAUUGAACAAAAUGAAUACUUAAAAAUAAAUAAAUAAAUACUAUCCCUUUAGUGAUUCAAAUGAAUGGCUGAUAGUACUGAUACAUUUAGAAACUGAUAUACCUGUAAUUGUAAAUAUUUUAGCGAACAGUAUAAUUGGAUUUAUUAUCUGGAGACGACAUAAUAUUUGUAUUGGUGUAAAUUGAAGAUAAUGAUCAUUGUCUUACUUUGCUUGUCCAUAAAAAUUGGGGCUGCACCAAGAGAUGCAACUGUGUCAACCAGGAAGAGGCAGUUAUGUCUGGGGGAGAUAGGACAGUAAGCAGGGGGAAAUAUUAUAUGUUAUUUGGUAAUUUUAUAAAAUAACCAAAUAACAUAUAAUAGUAAUUUUAAUGACAUUAGCAAAUAAGGAAGAUAACUUAGGAGGCUUACUUUCUGCAGAUGUCUCCAAUGCCGUCUACUGGGUGACAGAGGCCAGCGGAAGACUCUCCAUGUGUGAGGAAAAACAGGACAGGCUUGUGUUUUUCUAUGGCCUACAGAAAGAUGUAGAAGUGGCCAAUUAUCGGCCUGCCCUGUGCGGCUAAGAUACGUGGAGGAACGUUUGAGGGUCCCGGUCCAAACAAAUAACGCAGUGGAACCUCCAGCGGCCGGAGCAUGCAUGCCGGCGGUGGGAUGGAGACCGUAGACAUGGAGCGGUCCAGUCUGUGCAGCAGAGGCGCGCUCCUGGCGGCCAGCUGACUGUCGAGGGUCGCUGCUGCCUGAUGGGCAAGCAGCGCGCUCCUGCUGAACAAAGCCCGCUGCAUGACUGCUACUGGUUCCUGAGAGGCCUGCUCCGAGUGACUGAGAAAA
This is a long non-coding RNA of Eleginops maclovinus (Patagonian blennie), 1373 nucleotides long. RefSeq lists it as uncharacterized. The record is from RefSeq and is a predicted model, not a curated record. The transcript is spliced from 2 exons. NCBI's taxonomy places the organism in Eukaryota, Metazoa, Chordata, Actinopteri, Perciformes, Eleginopidae.